AGAGUUUGAUCAUGGCUCAGGAUGAACGCUAGCUACAGGCUUAACACAUGCAAGUCGAGGGGAAACGACAUCGAAAGCUUGCUUUUGAUGGGCGUCGACCGGCGCACGGGUGAGUAACGCGUAUCCAACCUGCCCACCACUUGGGGAUAACCUUGCGAAAGUAAGACUAAUACCCAAUGACGUCUCUAGAAGACAUCUGAAAGAGAUUAAAGAUUUAUCGGUGAUGGAUGGGGAUGCGUCUGAUUAGCUUGUUGGCGGGGUAACGGCCACAGGCGACGACCNGUAGGGGUUCUGAGGAGGAAGGUCCCCACAUUGGAACUGAGACACGGUCAAACUCCGUACGGGAGGCA
This 350-nucleotide ribosomal RNA is filed under the name uncultured bacterium. RNAcentral describes it as "bacterial SSU rRNA". It matches the Rfam family "Bacterial small subunit ribosomal RNA", at positions 8 to 350 of the family's 1533-position model. The record is from RNAcentral.